GCAGUAUGGCGGUCUGUCGCUCGUGUUUCGCAAGAAUAUCGAGAGGAAAGUCCGGGCAACGCAGAGCAUCACAUUUCUUAACGGGAAGCUGGGGGCGACCUCAGGGUUUAAGGUAACAGAAAACUACCGCCGCCCGCCUUUGUGCAGGCGGUAAGGGUGAAAAGGCGAGGCAAGAGCUCACCGGGUGCCAUGGCGACAUGGCAUGCCGUACCACCUGUGAGUUGCAAGGUCAAGUAUAUCGGCAUUUAAGGGUUGCUCGCCCAUUGCCGAGGGGUAGACUGCUAUAUCGGCAUGGCAACAUGCCGGACAGAUAAAUGACAGACGGCGGCCGCAUUCUUUUUUUGUGUGCCGCUACAUAACCCGGCUUAUAGCCAUACUGCUCGA
RNAcentral lists this RNase P RNA (384 nucleotides) under Bacteroidales bacterium. Its description in RNAcentral is "RNase P RNA component class A". It matches the Rfam family "Bacterial RNase P class A". Rfam says of the family: Ribonuclease P (RNase P) is a ubiquitous endoribonuclease, found in archaea, bacteria and eukarya as well as chloroplasts and mitochondria. Its best characterised activity is the generation of mature 5'-ends of tRNAs by cleaving the 5'-leader elements of precursor-tRNAs. Cellular RNase Ps are ribonucleoproteins. Lineage: Bacteria; Pseudomonadati; Bacteroidota; Bacteroidia; Bacteroidales. RNAcentral also lists the same sequence under 2 other names. The record is from RNAcentral.